Molecule: long non-coding RNA, 1245 nt
Filed under: Taeniopygia guttata (zebra finch)
Lineage: Eukaryota; Metazoa; Chordata; Aves; Passeriformes; Estrildidae
Description: lncRNA (ENSTGUG00000023221.1)
Source: RNAcentral
GGUGUUCUUGAUUGUAGCUGAGCAAGGGAACACAGCCCCGUGACCACAGGACCUUCCCAGCAGGCGAGGCAGCCUUCUCAACCCCAGAUGCUGGAGAGAUAAGUCAAGGGCUAAGGCCCACAGAGGGGAAUCAGCUUUGUGGGCGGGGAUGUGCAAGAAGUGCCCCUCUAGGCCACUUAAAGGGAAAGUGUCUGUUUAGAUCACAGUGCUGAGGUGCACAGGGCAGAGCAGUUCCGGUGUGUGUCCCGUCACUUGUCUCUGGUGCGUUCUGUGUUCUUUGGGUCUCUCGGUCCUUGCAGACAUUGUUCUCAUCUAAAGCUCUCUCUCCCUCUCCUGUCCCCUGGUUUGUCACGUCCUGUGUGUUGUCACGGGUGUGUGCCCACAUUUGUCCCACAACUGCUCUGCCCUGGUGCAUAGCUUGUAACAGCACAAGUUCUGGGGACUUGAAAUUUGUAUUGGGAGAUUGCCAUAACAUUUUUGGUGCUGUUAAGUUGUCCUGCAGCCGUUUGACACUAGUUCUAACUUCCUUUCAGAUGCAGACAGUUCAAAUCGGUGGCAGAGGGCACCAGCCCUGGGUGAUGAUCUUCCCAUGAGCAGGUCAGUCAUUGUUUGCAUUUGCAGGGGAAGCGUAAAUGGGUGACUGUGUUACAGCGGUGUUCUUUGCCUUUAUUUUUAGGAGGUCCAGACAGAUAGCAGCAGUCAAGGCCCAGGGUGCCAGGGAAUCCACUUGGAGUAUGCCUAGCAGCUGUCACCAACCGGCUGAUGGCCCGGGUUUCCUGUGCUUGUGAACCCUCUGGAAGCAUUACAGGACUCUGUGAUGAAGCCUUGAAAUUUUGUAUUUCAAGAUGGCAUCGGGGUAGCCUUUGGCAGUGGCCAAGGAGGUGCGGCAAGUCACUGAGGUAGGGAGCGGGAGCCAAGGUCCGCUUAGGUUUCAGCAAUGCCGAGUCACUUUGUCUCUCCUUAACCCAGGCAGACCCUACAAUGACGGUGGCAGCCUCUGAGCAUGGCCAAAGUGUGCAGCCCGAGCAACUGGGCAUUCUUAGGAGAAUGCUGAGCAAGGGAACACAGCCCCGUGACCACAGGACCUUCCCAGCAGGCGAGGCAGCCUUCUCAACCCCAGAUGCUGGAGAGAUAAGUCAAGGGCUAAGGCCCACAGAGGGGAAUCAGCUUUGUGGGCGGGGAUGUGCAAGAAGUGCCCCUCUAGGCCACUUAAAGGGAAAGUGUCUGUUUAGAUCACAGUGCUGA